CUAUANUGCAGUCGANGAGUUCUGAUUAUUGAAAGGUGCUUGCAUCUUGAUUUAAUUUUGAACGAGUGGCGGACGGGUGAGUAACACGUGGGUAACCUGCCCUUAAGUGGGGGAUAACAUUUGGAAACAGAUGCUAAUACCGCAUAAAUCCAAGAACCGCAUGGUUCUUGGCUGAAAGAUGGCGUAAGCUAUCGCUUUUGGAUGGACCCGCGGCGUAUUAGCUAGUUGGUGAGGUAACGGCUCACCAAGGCAAUGAUACGUAGCCGAACUGAGAGGUUGAUCGGCCACAUUGGGACUGAGACACGGCCCAAACUCCUACGGGAGGCAGCAGUAGGGAAUCUUCCACAAUGGACGCAAGUCUGAUGGAGCAACGCCGCGUGAGUGAAGAAGGCUUUCGGGUCGUAAAACUCUGUUGUUGGAGAAGAAUGGUCGGCAGAGUAACUGUUGUCGGCGUGACGGUAUCCAACCAGAAAGCCACGGCUAACUACGUGCCAGC
This 496-nucleotide ribosomal RNA is filed under the name Lacticaseibacillus rhamnosus. RNAcentral describes it as "bacterial SSU rRNA". It matches the Rfam family "Bacterial small subunit ribosomal RNA", at positions 32 to 512 of the family's 1533-position model. The record is from RNAcentral. Lineage: Bacteria; Bacillati; Bacillota; Bacilli; Lactobacillales; Lactobacillaceae.